Long non-coding RNA from Chinchilla lanigera (long-tailed chinchilla), 1961 nucleotides. RefSeq lists it as uncharacterized. The record is from RefSeq and is a predicted model, not a curated record. The transcript has 3 exons. NCBI's taxonomy places the organism in Eukaryota, Metazoa, Chordata, Mammalia, Rodentia, Chinchillidae.
UCGCGCUCCGAGCAAUAACACAGUAUCACGUGUGGGCCGUGAAACCUGGGAGGAAAACAAAGCCGCAGGCGGCGGCCGCGCGGGCAGGGCGGGAGGCGUGGGCCGGAGGAGGAGGAGGAGGAAGAGGAGGAGGAGGAGGAAGCCGAGCCGGGCGCGGCGGGGCUGGCGGCCGGGGUCGCCCUCGCCGCCGGCGGACCGGGUCAAAUGACGCCAACCUCACCCGAACCCCACACAAGAAGCGCAGACUCUACCAGGAGGGCAGAAUGCUCCAUCUUAGGUGUGAACUCUGAAGGUUGCUCACAUAAGUCGCCUGACAAAGGAGAAAUCUGACAGUUAAGGGCUUCCAGAGUUGGGCAUCCGCUUACCAUGGCUGAAAGUCCACAGCAGCUUCCCAGCCUGCCCCCUGGGGCCUGGUGGCCAACAUGAAGAUGAACAGCAGCAAGAGGAAGGAAGUCUUGCAGCUGUGGGCCGAGGGAGGUGAUUCAGGCUUAUUCACAUCCGUGAAUAAGCCUGAACCUCCUCAGUCAUGUUCAGGGCUCAUGUCUGAGCGCUGUUAUCACUGUGAUCAAUCAGCAGACAACUAUUUAGCCAAAGCAAGAGCGGAAGGUAAAGCUGAAGGAAAUUUCUGGAACACAGUGCUACUACAAAAACAAAAAUCAUUUGUCAGGCAGUGGAUGCAGCUCAGCGGAGAAUACUUAUGAGCGUGCUCGAGGCCCUGGGUUCAAUCCCCAGCUCCGCAAAGAAAAAAAAAAAAAUGUAACCGUGAAGGCCGUCAUCCGCCAGUGCGCUUCUCAGAUAGGAUGAAGAGCACCAGAGCAAAAAGGAGGGAGUGUGAGUCUGUUCCCUCGUAUUCUGAAUCAAUACAACGACACACUUUGCUCUCAGAGUUGUGUCUUGAGGGCUGAGAAUGCAGGAGCCCUGGGCAUGAGAAUGGGGGGCUGGGUACCAAACAGGCUUCCGCUGUCUCUACUCUUUCUCCUGCUGUCCAGCAGAUUAAGGAAAAUGGUUUUAAACAGCCUAUUUGAUAAAACUGUUUGUUUACUUGAGGUUUUAUUUUGUUUUGUUGCUGAGUUCCGUGAGAGCUAAGAGAUCCUUGGUAGUGCAGGGCAUCCUGGGAGUCUUAUGCCAGGCUCCAUGAACAGUGGGAAAGGCCUGGCAGGCUGGGACCCAGAGGCGACCUGCUGGCUGGGUUGGUUAGUGCUGCUCAUAAACAGCUGGACCACAGAUACUACCCUUCAGGAGUAUUUUCCCAGCCUGUCCACAGGACCUGUCCCCCAGCUCAAAGACCUGUUUUCCAUAGGCAUGGCAUGAGAUACACCAGGCGGAGCUGAUGCCACAAUCAACUACCAUGUAUGUCCCGUGUUAUUCAAAGCUAUUUGUAUGUUUUUACUGUAAUUUAUGUUUCUUAGGAUCAAAGCGUGGAAAACAUAUUCUCUAAACAUAGUUGAAGAAUUUUCAGAAGCCAAAAUAAGAUUUCAAAAAGAAGCACAUUUGCUUUAAAUGAGUGAAACUCCAUGUGCUUGGGGCUUGAACUGAACUUCAUAAUUCAUCCUUAACACGUCUUUGAUCUGCCCAAAGCAUAACGAUCAAUGCACAGACAUGUGAGUGACCACUUGAAAGAACCGUUGAUGUGGAAGACACCAUCCUAGAUUCAUUACCUCAUUUCCUACUAGAACUCUGCGGGAAAAACAUUCUUUCUGCUUUACUGCCCAGAGAUCCCUUCAUCAAUUUAUGUUGGUAUUAGCAAUUGAGUGAAUUAAAAUGCAGGGCAGAACAUGAUUGAAACAUCAAACUAAAGAGCUGAGAACAUACAGUCUUGCUAAAACCUCAAUAAUCAAUACCCUAGCAUGGUAUGUCAAAACUGGCCUUCCUAGGAACUAUCUAGAAAACUCCGUCUUCAUAGAAUCUCUGCAGUACCCCUCAACUUGUUUUGUACAGAAUAAACGGAACUUAAACAUCAA